GACGAACGCUGGCGGCGUGCUUAACACAUGCAAGUGGAGCGACGAACCAGGCUUCGGCCUGGGGCAGAGCCGCGAACGGGUGAGUAACACGUGGGUAACCUGCCCUGAUGAUCGGGACAACCCGGGAAACCGGGCUAAUACCGAAUGUGCUGCCCUCGCAUCAGUGAGGGUAGGAAAGGAAGCUUCGGCCUCCGCAUCAGGAUGGGCCCGCGGCCCAUUAGCUUGUUGGUGAGGAACGGCUCACCAAGGCUUCGAUGGGUAGCUGGUCUGAGAGGACGAUCAGCCACACUGGGACUGAGACACGGCCCAGACUCCUACGGGAGGCAGCAGUGGGGAAUCUUGCGCAAUGCGCGAAAGCGUGACGCAGCAACGCCGCGUGGGGGAA
This 385-nucleotide ribosomal RNA is filed under the name uncultured bacterium. Its description in RNAcentral is "bacterial SSU rRNA". It matches the Rfam family "Bacterial small subunit ribosomal RNA", at positions 28 to 409 of the family's 1533-position model. The record is from RNAcentral.